Long non-coding RNA from Daphnia pulicaria, 583 nucleotides. RefSeq lists it as uncharacterized. Lineage: Eukaryota; Metazoa; Arthropoda; Branchiopoda; Diplostraca; Daphniidae. The record is from RefSeq and is a predicted model, not a curated record. The transcript is spliced from 4 exons.
ACGAAAAUGUUUGGUUGGGUAACUUCGUCUGCUCCCAAGUUACACAGUCAAGUUACUUCAAACAUUCAAACAAAAUAAAUUGAGAUUCGGAUUUUAAGAAAAUUUCAGCUGAAGUUUUUGUGUGACACAGGUGCUUGUGACAACAGAGAGCAAAUGGUACAAUCCAGUAAUGAAAGCUUUGUCUUCCAAAGGUUAACUUUUUGCUGUCAAAUUGUAGUAAAUCGGGUAAAUCUCCAAGAUAUUGCUGCCUUCCCCAGAUCCAAUUUUUUGCUGUUAUCUAUUUGGACAAUUGGAAGACAAUGCUACCACUGAAGAGGUUGUGGUGACCACCAUUUGAGUUCUAAUUUAUGACAACGUGUAUCCCUUUCCUCUGCUAUAUUGGUUGGAAACCAACAAGGGAUUUCUGGAAUUGAAGAUUGAUAAUUUGUGAAGAUGUACAUCAAUUUCAAGUGCAUAUCUGGGCUCCCUUCUUUUCUGUGGCCCAUUUCCCGGACUGUUUAAUGAAUUAUUUUAUAUAAAUUUUACUGCUUACUUAGUUAUUUGUGUGUAUUUAUGUUAAAAUAAUAAAUGGUAAAAUAACAGA